UACAGAGGGUGCAAGCGUUAAUCGGAGUUACUGGGCGUAAAGGGCGCGUAGGCGGUUAUUUAAUUGAGAUGUGAAAUCCCUGGGCUUAACCUAGGAACUGCAACUCAUACUGGAUGACUGGAGUAUUGUAGAGGGUAGUGGAAUUUCCGGUGUAGCGGUGAAAUGCGUAGAGAUCGGAAGGAACACCAGUGGCGAAGGCGGCUACCUGGACAAAUACUGACGCUGAGGCGCGAGAGCGUGGGGAGCAAACAGG
This 253-nucleotide unclassified non-coding RNA is filed under the name uncultured Gammaproteobacteria bacterium. RNAcentral's name for it is "contains 16S-23S intergenic spacer region". It matches the Rfam family "Bacterial small subunit ribosomal RNA", at positions 524 to 776 of the family's 1533-position model. The record is from RNAcentral. Lineage: Bacteria; Pseudomonadati; Pseudomonadota; Gammaproteobacteria.